GAUGAACGCUAGCGGCAGGCCUAACACAUGCAAGUCGAGGGAGAAGCCCUUUCGGGGGCAGAAACCGGCGCACGGGUGCGUAACGCGUAUGCAACCUACCUUUCACAGGGGGAUAGCCCGAAGAAAUUUGGAUUAAUACCCCAUAAUAUUGUUGGAUGGCAUCAUUUGGCAAUUAAAACUGCGGUGGUGAAAGAUGGGCAUGCGUCCUAUUAGCUAGUUGGAGUGGUAACGGCACCCCAAGGCUACGAUAGGUAGGGGUCCUGAGAGGGAGAUCCCCCACACUGGUACUGAGACAGGGACCAGACUCCUACGGGAGGCAGCAGUGAGGAAUAUUGGUCAAUGGUCGGAAGACUGAACCAGCCAUGCCGCGUGCAGGAAGAAUGCCUUAUGGGUUGUAAACUGCUUUUAUAUGGGAAGAAUAAGGUGUACGUGUACAUUGAUGACG
This 445-nucleotide ribosomal RNA is filed under the name Capnocytophaga gingivalis. Its description in RNAcentral is "bacterial SSU rRNA". It matches the Rfam family "Bacterial small subunit ribosomal RNA", at positions 28 to 474 of the family's 1533-position model. Lineage: Bacteria; Pseudomonadati; Bacteroidota; Flavobacteriia; Flavobacteriales; Flavobacteriaceae. The record is from RNAcentral.